RNAcentral lists this ribosomal RNA (500 nucleotides) under uncultured bacterium. RNAcentral's name for it is "partial 16S ribosomal RNA". It matches the Rfam family "Bacterial small subunit ribosomal RNA", at positions 30 to 523 of the family's 1533-position model. The record is from RNAcentral.
AUUGAACGCUGGCGGCAGGCCUAACACAUGCAAGUCGAGCGGUAGAGAGAAGCUUGCUUCUCUUGAGAGCGGCGGACGGGUGAGUAAUGCCUAGGAACCUGCCUAGUGGUGGGGGAUAACGUUCGGAAACGGACGCUAAUACCGCAUACGUCCUACGGGAGAAAGCGGGGGAUCUUCGGACCUCGCGCCAUUAGAUGAGCCUAGGUCGGAUUAGCUAGUUGGUGAGGUAAUGGCUCACCAAGGCGACGAUCCGUAACUGGUCUGAGAGGAUGAGCAGUCACACUGGAACGGAGACACGGUCCAGACUCCUACGGGAGGCAGCAGUGGGGAAUAUUGGACAAUGGGCGAAAGCCUGAUCCAGCCAUGCCGCGUGUGUGAAGAAGGUCUUCGGAUUGUAAAGCACUUUAAGUUGGGAGGAAGGGUAGUAACCUAAUACGUUGCUACUUUGACGUUACCGACAGAAUAAGCACCGGCUAACUUCGUGCCAGCAGCCGCCGUAA